This 1809-nucleotide long non-coding RNA is filed under the name Calidris pugnax (ruff). RNAcentral's name for it is "lncRNA (ENSCPUG00000010300.1)". Lineage: Eukaryota; Metazoa; Chordata; Aves; Charadriiformes; Scolopacidae. The record is from RNAcentral.
AGGCGCUCCGGCCCCCGCGGCCCCGCUGAGGUGCUCGGGGAGCGGACGGUGGGUGAGCGGACCCGGGGCCGCGGUGGGGCUCCUUUUCCGGCUGGUUUCUUUUCGCCCGUUGAGGCUGAUAUCUGGGACACCUCUCACCAGACCAGGUUGCUCAAAGCGCCGUCCAGCCUGGCCUGGAACUCCUCCAGGGAUGGGGCGCCCACAGCUUCUCUGGGCAACCUGUUCCCGUGCCUCACCACCCUCACAGUGAAAAAUUUCUUCCUGAUUAUCAAAUAUAAGUCUCCCCUCUUCCAGUUUGAAGCCAUUACCCCCCAUUCUAUCGCUACGUGCCCUCCCCAGCUUUCUUGUAGGCCCUCUUGGGACACAGGUAGCACUGCGAGGCCUGUGUUGACACCAUCGUCAUCGCCAGUUGAUUUCACCUGAUUUUCUGAGGGGGUUUCUGUCACCCACCACAGAACCACAGCCGUGACGGGAUGGGGGCAGCAGAAGGAGCCCGGGGACACCCGUCACUUCAACCAAGCUCCCACCAUUUCCCUCAGCCAGGGCUCUACAGCAAAUUCCCAGAAACACCAUUUCACCAAUUAGUGUUGGCUGGGCUUUUGGAUGCAGCUCAUCAGAGCCAGAUCACCGAAGCCAUCCCCAAGGGUAUGGACUCAAAGACUCGAGGAACUCGCUCUGUUUCCAGGCUUGACCAAGAUGCCUCCUCUGCUCUUGCCUGAAGAAACGCUACAUAGGUAAAGCUGGUCAAGGAUGAUGUAGCAUCCAUUAGAAGCAUAGCUUUAAUGGAUGACUGGAUUUGUACGUUAAAGGGGUGUAAGAAGAGAGGAUUUGUAACUGUGUGCUUAGGAUAUAUAGCCCCUACAAUGGGAAACCCUCUGCAGUGGAAAACGUGCACCACGGUUUUGUAGAACAAAAGCACACAAAAAAUUUCAAGGCAGCUCCCACCACCUCUGGCGUCACCCCACUCCCACACACAAAUAACUGCACAUUGUUUAGCCAACAGGAUCUGGUCCUUCCGAUCUGUUACAAACUGGCAGAGCCAGAAAUCCACAAACAAACUUAACACCUUACACCAAAGCCCCACUCACUAACAACCAGGUCACACAGUAUAUGUAGCUACAGCAACACAUCCAGAAAUGCCCUGUCAGCUUCUUGUUUUGAUGACUUUCUGUACAUAGCCUUCCACAUGGUCCUGCUUCCCCUAACUUUCUCCAUUUGGACCAACUACUACAGCAACGCUUCUAAAAUGCCAUAUACUUAGCAAUCUGCCUGUGCUUUCACCCCUUUCUCCUACCAUCCUAGAAGAAAAAAACCAAAACCCUAUAAUAAUUGGUAAACUUAGAGUUUCUUAGACCUAUAUGGCUCACCUCGGUAAUGCAGUGAUCUCAGUACAGGAAAAUGAGAAUCCUUGCAGGCUUUUCACUCUUCACUAUAUUCAGUUCCAGAGGAGGCCUUAAUACAAAUUCAUUCUUCCCUGUAAAAUGAUACUUCAAGAUUUUAUCUACUCUUUUAAGUAGCUUUUUUAGGUCAUGUGUUUCACUUCCCCAUCAGGAUCCCACCUAAGAUAGACUUUCCAGGCAUGUUACUGGAUACCAGGACAAAAGAGGUAGUAUCCGUGUCUUCAUUCAGAGUAUGGGACAAAGGCACAUAACCAGGCUGGAGAGGAGGACAAGUCAACUUCACUCUCACUUUGCUGGGACUCUAGUUUUCUUCAAGAAUAUUCUUUCCAUGCCUACCGGAUGUAGACAAGUCUAAAGGGUGAAAAACGAUGAAUGAGAAUAAAUGUCUCCCAUCCAAAACCUCUCUACA